Molecule: long non-coding RNA, 521 nt
Filed under: Phoenix dactylifera (date palm)
Lineage: Eukaryota; Viridiplantae; Streptophyta; Magnoliopsida; Arecales; Arecaceae
Description: long non-coding RNA (PDAC_LNC018019)
Source: RNAcentral
AAAUUAUAAAUUUUAUAUGAAGGCACGCAAGGCAUUGGUUGGGAAUUGACUUUGGGUUUGAGGUGGGUCAUGAUCGUUGAUUUGCUUGAAAUUGUUCUUGAACCCAAUGUUAUUUAAAUUUAAUUCUUGCUGAGCUGCUUCAGAUCGAACUCGACCAGACAAGACUAAAAACCGGACCGUGACCUAAUAAAAAGGGUUAAUCAAACUUUUGCCCCAUACAUAAUUAAUUAUAACGAUCGAAUCAGGACCAAAACCUAUUUAAUCAUAGCCUUAGCUUGAUUACAACCCCAUCAGGUUACUAAACCGGGUCAACACAAUCUCCUCCUUAUAUGAAAGAUUACAACCAGGAGAGAGACAAGUUCAAAGUCUGUUUUGAGAGAAGAAUUAUUUACCUCUUACCAUAUUUUAAAUUUAUUUCAAUGUUUAUUCAAUUUUAUGGUAAAGUAUGUAUUUAUUAGUUUAAGAACAUUGAUAAGUGCUAUGAAAAGAUAACUAAAUUAUAAAUUAUUCAGCACUUAUCA